Molecule: unclassified non-coding RNA, 225 nt
Filed under: uncultured fungus
Lineage: Eukaryota; Fungi
Description: sequence contains ITS1, 5.8S rRNA gene
Source: RNAcentral
UUGAAUACGCUUUGGGUGCUGAUGCUGGCCUUUUCGGAGGCAUGUGCUCGCAUUCAAACUAUUUAUCUUCUCUUGUGCACCUUUUGUAGUCUUUGAACGUUUCUCCGCGUGCAAACGUGGGUUGGGAGGCAUUUCAACGUGCCUCUGGUUCGAAGACUAUGUUUUCAUAUACCUUUAGUAUGUUUUUAGAAUGUCAUCUUAGUGGCUUCGGCCAUUAACCUUAUA